GAUGAACGCUAGCUACAGGCUUAACACAUGCAAGUCGAGGGGAAACGGCAUUAAGUGCUUGCACUUUUUGGACGUCGACCGGCGCACGGGUGAGUAACGCGUAUCCAACCUUCCCAUGACUAAGGGAUAACCUGCCGAAAGGCAGACUAAUACCUUAUGGUCUUCACUGACGGCAUCAGAUGUGAAGUAAAGAUUUAUCGGUUAUGGAUGGGGAUGCGUCUGAUUAGCUUGUUGGCGGGGUAACGGCCCACCAAGGCAACGAUCAGUAGGGGUUCUGAGAGGAAGGUCCCCCACAUUGGAACUGAGACACGGUCCAAACUCCUACGGGAGGCAGCAGUGAGGAAUAUUGGUCAAUGGGCGAGAGCCUGAACCAGCCAAGUAGCGUGCAGGAUGACGGCCCUAUGGGUUGUAAACUGCUUUUGUAUGGGGAUAAAGUCAAUCACGUGUGAUUGUUUGCAGGUACCAUACGAAUAAGGACCGGCUAAUUCCGUGCCAGCAGCCGCGGUAAUACGGAAGGUCCGGGCGUUAUCCGGAUUUAUUGGAUUUAAAGGGAGCGUAGGCUGGAGAUUAAGUGUGUUGUGAAAUGUAGACGCUCAACGUCUGACUUGCAGCGCAUACUGGUUUCCUUGAGUACGCACAACGUUGGCGGAAUUCGUCGUGUAGCGGUGAAAUGCUUAGAUAUGACGAAGAACUCCGAUUGCGAAGGCAGCUGACGGGAGCGCAACUGACGCUGAAGCUCGAAGGUGCGGGUAUCGAACAGG
This 761-nucleotide ribosomal RNA is filed under the name Prevotella melaninogenica. Its description in RNAcentral is "bacterial SSU rRNA". It matches the Rfam family "Bacterial small subunit ribosomal RNA", at positions 28 to 776 of the family's 1533-position model. The record is from RNAcentral. Lineage: Bacteria; Pseudomonadati; Bacteroidota; Bacteroidia; Bacteroidales; Prevotellaceae.